GGGCCCGUAGCUCAGUUGGUUAGAGCGCACGGCUGAUAACCGUGAGGUCGUUGGUUCGAAUCCAACCGGGCCCACCA
This 77-nucleotide transfer RNA is filed under the name Actinobacteria bacterium HGW-Actinobacteria-7. Its description in RNAcentral is "tRNA-Ile". It matches the Rfam family "tRNA". From Rfam's summary of the family: Transfer RNA (tRNA) molecules are approximately 80 nucleotides in length. Their secondary structure includes four short double-helical elements and three loops (D, anti-codon, and T loops). Lineage: Bacteria; Bacillati; Actinomycetota. The record is from RNAcentral. RNAcentral also lists the same sequence under 3 other names.